CCAACCUUUUUCAGAAGAAAGCCUUUUCAUUGAAGGAGACUGCAAUAAGUACACCUCCAACACGCUUUGACCUUGCUCAUAACAGAUCUUGACUUUUACCUACUCUUGCUACAUUCAAUGGUUACGCGUGUAAUGAAGCAGAUGGAGGGCUUAAGGGUGUAAUUUAUGUAAUGUGGUGAUGAUGUUGGUGUUUCUUUUCAAGUUGUAAAUUUCAAUUAAUGAGCAUGGAAGGGUGUAAUGCGCGUGGUAAUGGGUGUAAUGCUGGCUGUGAAGGGCGCUGAGAUUUAUACGAACUCAUCUCUGCACUCAACCAUUUUAAAUGCUUUAUAUGCUUUAAUAAUUAUGAAUAUUACAGCUUGGAAGCUCAGGGCUUUGAUACGACCUGGUUCGUUACAACGCAGAUUAAAAAUUAAAAAAUACUUAUUUCUCGUAUCCCUACAAAUGAUAAGCAUCUCUCCUUAUAUUGGGGAGAAUGCCUUUAAACCAUCAAAAAGCUAGACUUUAUAGAAAUACUGUAAAUUCAAGCAGUGGAAUUCAAACAGAUAAGAUAGGAUCAACUCCUAGAUUCUAUAUCUAGGAGCUCUUUUCUUUUGAACUCUCUAGGUAUAGAACAUUGAAAAUAUGGUGAGUUUGAACACGAGGAGUUGAAUAGUGCACUUUGUGGAGACUGUGAGUUAUCGCUUGGAAAUUCCAUUAUUGGUAAUAAUAAUUAUAGUUGUAAUACACCGAUAGCUGUUAGUCAUAGGGUGGUGAUAUAGUGGUAAUAUAUAACUGCAUGAGUCGUUUUAAUGCAAGAUGCAAAACCUUAUUUGAACAGAUUGAAUUUUCUAAGAUGUACAGAAUCUGUCUCUGUUCCAAAUAAUAUGGAAGCAUACACCAGAUGACUUCGGACAAGUGAAAAUAGAGAGUAUUUAUUGUGCAUGGAUUUCUGAAGUCUCUCCUUAUCCAUCUAAUUACUCAAAGUUAUCUUCUUGCCAUUGCUACACUAUUAGAAACAUGCACAGUCAAUAGAAGUUUCAAAAACAAGUGUAGUAAAUAAUACAUGAGUGGUUUUAUCAUGAUCAGUUUCUAUCAGUAACUGAUGUUCCCUAGAAACGUACUUCCCCAGAGAAGUAAACAAAUUUUGUUGUGAAGCAUGAAGAAAGUAACCUUAUACAAAAUUCUACUUAGGCCAGCAACACCACCUAGCAACGAGGAGUCUAUUCCACUUUUCCAGUCAGAGCGUAAUCUGAGUAUAUUGAAGGUAGCAGAGACUCAAACUGAAACUCAGAAAGACUCUUGGCAUUGCUUGAGAAAUUUUUGCCGAUGCUGUCUUAUCAUUGCUGUGAUGUUGUUCAGCUCGCUUCUUUCUAAUAUAUUACUAUAUUGGCUCUUUUUGGAAUCCGACCGAGAAAAAAAUGCAUCGAAGACUCAUAAUAAUAUCAUGUUUCUCAAUUCAGAAUAGAUGAACAUAGCAAUGAUCUUUCCCUCCUCCAGAAAAUAUAAUCCCAAAAACAUUUGGAACUUUCAAAAUUUCCGUAUGUGAUACAUUAUUCCGCAAAGCGAUAGUAUGAAAUAAUACAUCUUUCAUCUAUGAAAUGAUAAGACUGAAGAUUGAAGUGAGCACGGAUAUUUUUCAAGGGUCAUUUGUUCCAAAAUAUACCUUAACAAUAAUGCACAAAAGCUGAAGGCUUUUCAAGUAACUGAAUCUAUUCUUAUUAUUUUUCUCUAGACAAACUCCUACUAAUAAAUUCUUUGACUACUGAUAUUCAACACUAUUUAUUGUUAUACUCAUAAGUAAUGUGAGUAAUAGAACUAGAUUAACAUUCCACUA
This is a long non-coding RNA of Nilaparvata lugens (brown planthopper), 1813 nucleotides long. RefSeq lists it as uncharacterized. The transcript has 3 exons. The record is from RefSeq and is a predicted model, not a curated record. NCBI's taxonomy places the organism in Eukaryota, Metazoa, Arthropoda, Insecta, Hemiptera, Delphacidae.